UACGAGGGGGGCAAAUGUUGUUCGGAUUUAUUGGGCGUAAAGCGCGUGUAGGCGGUUUCUUAAGUCUGAUGUGAAAGCCCUGGGCUCAACCCAGGAAGUGCAUUGGAUACUGGGAAACUUGAAUACGGGAGAGGGUAGUGGAAUUCCUAGUGUAGGAGUGAAAUCCGUAGAUAUUAGGAGGAACACCGGUGGCGAAGGCGGCUACCUGGACCGAUAUUGACGCUGAGACGCGAAAGCGUGGGGAGCAAACAGG
Molecule: ribosomal RNA, 253 nt
Filed under: uncultured bacterium
Lineage: Bacteria
Description: partial 16S ribosomal RNA
Rfam family: Bacterial small subunit ribosomal RNA
Source: RNAcentral